CGGUCUUUGUUGGAACCGCUGCUGGUAAUGUGAGGGUCAUGCAGUACCCGUUACAAGAAGGGGUGAAAUGGACAGAGUACCAGGCUCAUUCAAGUCCCAUCACCAAAAUGGUCAUCACACCUAGUGAUCUGACCUCAGAGGAUGGCUCCCUCCUCAUCUGGACAGUCACUGACAAUCUGGGACGCCUGCUAUGUAUAAAAGAAAUGAAGUACACCGAUGAGGUCCUCUGUGCCAAAUCCUAUCUGGAGCAAAUGGAAAAGAGUUUACAAGAGGCUAACACCCAGGUGAUAAGGCUGGAGUUUGAGCAGGAGCAAGUGCAGAAUCUGAAGGACAGGAUCUACAUGCAGAAGCUCAGUGAACUCGAGCAGAAAUACCUCAAGCAGAUUUAGGAUCUGAAAGCCCAAAACGAGGCACUGAUUGUCGAGAACGAGAAGCAGAAGGCCUUGAUAGAGAAAAUGACAAAAGAUCAUGCCAAAGAGCUGGAGGAUGAAAAACAAGCCCACAAUCAAAAGCUGCAUGAGAAAUAUGAAAAGCACUGUCAGCUGGAGCAUAGAUUAAUUCAGGGUCUGAAGGCGGAUUGUGAAAAAGAAACUUCGCCAGCAAGAGGAAAGCCAUCGUUGUGCCAUGAAGGAGAUGAAAAAGUCCCAUCGGGAUGAACUGCUGGAGCAACAGGCCAAGUUCGGGAAGACUCGAUACGGACAGAUACGAAACAGAUACGGGCGUUUGUGAUCAAAAAACUCGACAUGAUGGAGAUGAACGAAGAAUUCAAAACUGAAAUGGAACUGGCCGAGGAGCAGGUGAGCAAAUUUGAGAACUUGAAAAAGAAGUUGCUGGAUCGAGACACAGACAUCUGUAAGCUAAAGGAGGACCUGAAGCGCAUGAAGCAGGAAGUAAAAAAGGUCAGGGAACUGAGGAAGGAGAAUGAGGCACAAAAUGAGGCUAUCGAUGUACAGAGAAAAUAAAUCUUAGGACUGCUUGCAAAGCUCGAGAAGUUUGACAAAGGAGACUACAUCAACUAGGAAAUGCUGCAAAACCGGUUCAAUCAGGUAAGGUAUGAACGAGAUCAUUUAAAGAAACUCGGUUACCCGAAGGAAAUCAUGCAAAUGCAGCAGAAGAUUGAAGAGAACAAAACAGUCAUCAAAGAGGUGAGAAAUUAUAUUAGGUAUAUUAUUAUUAUUAUUAUUAUUAUUAUUAAUGACUAGCUAAUCCGAGGACAUUUUUUAUUUUAGUUCAAGAUUGAGGUGGUGAGGAGCAACAAAAGAACAAGGAGAUCAUUGAGGACCUGAAGAAGAGGCUGACAUUAAAGGAUGAAGAGUUGCGCAGGGUUGGUUUCACCUGAAUAUGCUUUGUUAAGAUUAAUAAGUAUUUUGUGACAAAUAGUAAUAAAAUAAUUAUUGUAAAAAUGAUCAGAUCUAAAAAAUAAUACAAAUUUAACCAAAGAGCAAAUGGACAGGACUUGCAAACUAAGUUAAAGUUAAAAUUAAUCUUAAUUCCAAGUUAUAUACAGUAUCUGUCCUAAAUAGUAAUCGAAAAUAGAAUUAGUAUGCCCCAAAUCGUGGUAUGCUGAAAAGCAUAUUCCAAAAAUUCCCGGAUGGUCUACUACUUCCGGUAGAAAUUGCAAGUGCAGAGUUGUGUAGCUGGGUUUUAAAGCAGGUUGGAUUUUUUUUGUUGCACUUACAGACCACUUGAUUCAAAUGUGCAUGAAUGGAUACACACAGAUGUGUACUUCUUUUCUGGGGGUGGUAGGGGUGUUAAAUAAAAAAUGAAAAUGAUUAUACCCGUCUUUUUUUCAGUUCAGUUGUUUAAUUUCUACAGGUUUUGUAACAUUCUAAAAGCUCUUAA
Molecule: long non-coding RNA, 1842 nt
Organism: Hemibagrus wyckioides
Lineage: Eukaryota; Metazoa; Chordata; Actinopteri; Siluriformes; Bagridae
Exons: 8
Source: RefSeq, a predicted model, not a curated record